Molecule: non-coding RNA, 209 nt
Filed under: Planktothrix tepida PCC 9214
Lineage: Bacteria; Bacillati; Cyanobacteriota; Cyanophyceae; Oscillatoriales; Microcoleaceae
Description: Planktothrix sp. PCC 9214 Bacterial small subunit ribosomal RNA
Rfam family: Bacterial small subunit ribosomal RNA
Source: Rfam by way of RNAcentral
CCGUGCCAGCAGCCGCGGUAAUACGGAGGAUGCAAGCGUUAUCCGGAAUGAUUGGGCGUAAAGAGUCCGUAGGUAGCCCCUCAAGUCUGCUGUUAAAGAGCGAGGCUUAACUUCGUAAAGGCAGUGGAAACUGGGGAGCUAGAGUGUAGUAGGGGCAGAGGGAAUUCCUGGUGUAGCGGUGAAAUGCGUAGAGAUCAGGAAGAACACCG